This 392-nucleotide RNase P RNA is filed under the name Myxococcales bacterium. Its description in RNAcentral is "RNase P RNA component class A". It matches the Rfam family "Bacterial RNase P class A". Rfam says of the family: Ribonuclease P (RNase P) is a ubiquitous endoribonuclease, found in archaea, bacteria and eukarya as well as chloroplasts and mitochondria. Its best characterised activity is the generation of mature 5'-ends of tRNAs by cleaving the 5'-leader elements of precursor-tRNAs. Cellular RNase Ps are ribonucleoproteins. Lineage: Bacteria; Pseudomonadati; Myxococcota; Myxococcia; Myxococcales. The record is from RNAcentral.
GGAGCAGCCCGGGUGAACGCCGGCCAUUGCAGGACGGGGUGGCGGGAGGAAAGUCCGGGCACCGAAGGGCAGGGUGCUGGCUAACGGCCAGUCGGCGCAAGCCGCAGGAAAGUGCCACAGAAAACAGACCUCCUGCUCGCAAGGGCAGGGAAGGGUGAAACGGUGCGGUAAGAGCGCACCGCGCGACUGGUGACAGCCGCGGCACGGCAAACCCCACCUGGUGCAAGAGCCAAUAGGGAAGCGUCACUCCGCAAGGGGUGACACGGGCGGCCCGUCCGAGGCUUCCGGGUUGCUUGCUGUUGAGGGCGUCGGCAACGGCGCUCCUAGACGAAUGUUCGCCGGCCUCGGGAAACCGGGGCGCACAAAACCCGGCUUACAGGGCUGCUCCAGCG